AGGGGUAAACCUGAGAAACCCGAAAGGUCGAAGGAAGAAAUUCAUUCGCGUUUCGACGCAGGCGUCGGUCGGUCGAGCGACGGGAGACGUUCGCGUCUCUCGCGCCCUCCGUCCGUCGAUCCGGCGACGAACGCGUGCACUUUUCUUCUGGUAGGACGUCGCGAUCCGUUGGGUGUCAGUCUAAGGCGCGCGGCGGAGCCCGCUCGUCGCCUCGUGCGACGUACGGACCCGUGCGUCCCGGCUGACUCGCUCGACGGUAUCCGAAAGGUUAGGGGCCGCUCUCUACGGAGCGUUCGACUCUCGGCAAGCGCGCCAGACGCGUCGGCGAUCGGACCCGGUGCCGGUCCCGGCCUCUGGUGACUGUUGGCCGCGGAAGUUCUCGAACAGACCCCUCGACCGAUCAGCGACGCUAUAGCUUUGGGUACUUUCAGGACCCGUCUUGAACAAC
This 448-nucleotide ribosomal RNA is filed under the name Pityokteines lasiocarpi. RNAcentral describes it as "eukaryotic LSU rRNA". The record is from RNAcentral. Lineage: Eukaryota; Metazoa; Arthropoda; Insecta; Coleoptera; Curculionidae.